This 495-nucleotide ribosomal RNA is filed under the name uncultured bacterium. Its description in RNAcentral is "partial 16S ribosomal RNA". It matches the Rfam family "Bacterial small subunit ribosomal RNA", at positions 28 to 506 of the family's 1533-position model. The record is from RNAcentral.
GAUGAACGCUGGCGGCGUGCCUAAUACAUGCAAGUCGAGCGAACAGACGAGGAGCUUGCUCCUCUGACGUUAGCGGCGGACGGGUGAGUAACACGUGGAUAACCUACCUAUAAGACUGGGAUAACUUCGGGAAACCGGAGCUAAUACCGGAUAAUAUAUUGAACCGCAUGGUUCAAUAGUGAAAGACGGUUUUGCUGUCACUUAUAGAUGGAUCCGCGCCGCAUUAGCUAGUUGGUAAGGUAACGGCUUACCAAGGCGACGAUGCGUAGCCGACCUGAGAGGGUGAUCGGCCACACUGGAACUGAGACACGGUCCAGACUCCUACGGGAGGCAGCAGUAGGGAAUCUUCCGCAAUGGCGAAAGCCUGACGGAGCAACGCCGCGUGAGUGAUGAAGGUCUUCGGAUCGUAAAACUCUGUUAUUAGGGAAGAACAAAUGUGUAAGUAACUAUGCACGUCUUGACGGUACCUAAUCAGAAAGCCACGGCUAACUACGU